Megalopta genalis is the source of this 962-nucleotide non-coding RNA. The record is from RefSeq and is a predicted model, not a curated record. NCBI's taxonomy places the organism in Eukaryota, Metazoa, Arthropoda, Insecta, Hymenoptera, Halictidae.
GCAUGUACAUAUAUGUAUGUAUGUACAUAUAUCCGUAGCCAGAACAUUCUGUGGACAUAAAGUUUACGUUUGUUCGAUUGGUAUCGUACGAUCGCAAAUAUAAUCGACAUAAUUAUACAUACAAUUGAGCGACAGGACCAACCAGUAAAUAGAUAAGGUCACGGUGUUACCUAAUAAGUCGCUUUUACAUUGUAUCGCGUGCGCACCGAUAAUUCGACCGCAUGUUAUGCAGAUGUUGCAGAUUCAAAGAGAAACCGUGGAAUGCUAGAUUUAUUAGAUAAAUUGCAAAGAAAACGAAACGAAGAAACAAAAUAAGAAGGAUAGUAAUUUCACAUACAUACAAAAAGAAAGGUAAUGUACAAUUCAAUGGUUGGUUCGUAUUCCAUUUCUGGAUGCGAUAGAUUGAGAAUUUAUGUUUAGAAAUGUGGGAGGAAAAAUAGUACCAGCACCAGUGGCAAUGCAUGGGCCAACGAGGAUGUGAUUUAGUGUGCUAAGGCGACGAUCCAGUUCGUAGCCGGAUACCAGCAAGAAUCCUGGGCUAUUCUCAAAAUCCCAGAAUUACCAGCUGAUAUUUGACUACGUAACCGGAGUUUCUAUGUGUUUGCGCUUGCAGAUUAGUCACAGAUCGCACUCGAACCAAUAAUUCUAGAGUGGGAUUUGAACCGCGUCACCAGUGCAUAAACUAAAAUGAGAGUGUACAAUGGUUUUGCAGGUUGAUAUUAUAGCAAGCUGUGGAAAUAUCGGGUCCAGUUGAACAAUUUCAUUACAAUAGAUACGUGCGCUUUUGGAAGAUAUUGUUACGAACGUAUGCUAGAUUUAGACUUUUUAAUAUUAUCAUCAGCGUGAUUAUACCUAAUAAAUAUUAUGUAUUAACGACAGCGAGUGAUCGCAAGAUAUCUCGUUGCUUUGAGUUUAAACCAUCCGUCAGUGUCCUCGAAGGAUAAUACAUAUAUAUACCGCAA